This 415-nucleotide long non-coding RNA is filed under the name Capsella rubella. RNAcentral describes it as "long non-coding RNA (CRUB_LNC004895)". The record is from RNAcentral. Lineage: Eukaryota; Viridiplantae; Streptophyta; Magnoliopsida; Brassicales; Brassicaceae.
UAAUAUUAGAAUUUUGUACUUUGAUAAAACAUGUAUUGAACAAUGUAAUAUUGAUAUAAAAAAAUAUCCACACCAAAAGGGUUUGUUAAAAGGUUUUGUGUGACUAUUGUUCUUCUUCUCCAAAUACGCCGAUGUACUUUUUUUUCUUCUUCAAACCUUCAGAUGUCGAUCAAAAAAGUAUAUCUUCAUUGAGUACUCUCAUAUGUUUGCUUACUGAUCUAUUAAAAACACUGAUUCACAAAAAUAUGUCUUCGUCUUUUUUUUUUUUUUUUUUUUUUUUGAGAUUGUGUGUUUGAUGAUUCUGAGAAUCGAGGUUGGAACAAUAUAUAUAGAGGUAUAGUGAAUUGUCAAAUUGUAUUUUUGGAAUAAUAUCAUAAAUACGAAUCAGUGUUAUGCUAAUAAUCAGUAUAGUGAU